UGAGGAAUAUUGGUCAAUGGGCGCAAGCCUGAACCAGCCAUCCCGCGUGCAGGAAGACGGCCCUAUGGGUUGUAAACUGCUUUUCCAGGGGGAGAAUUUUUCUGUCGUGACAGGAAUUGACGGUACCCUGGGAAUAAGCAUCGGCUAACUCCGUGCCAGCAGCCGCGGUAAUACGGAGGAUGCGAGCGUUAUCCGGAUUUAUUGGGUUUAAAGGGUGCGUAGGCGGAUUGAUAAGUCAGUGGUGAAAACCUGCAGCUUAACUGUAGACUUGCCGUUGAUACUGUCAGUCUUGAGUGUGGUCAAGGUAGGCGGAAUGUGUAGUGUAGCGGUGAAAUGCUUAGAUAUUACACAGAAUAUCGAUUGCGAAGGCAACUCACAAAGCCAUUAUUGACGCUGAGG
RNAcentral lists this ribosomal RNA (399 nucleotides) under uncultured bacterium. RNAcentral's name for it is "bacterial SSU rRNA". It matches the Rfam family "Bacterial small subunit ribosomal RNA", at positions 355 to 751 of the family's 1533-position model. The record is from RNAcentral.